GACGAACGCUGGCGGCGUGCUUAACACAUGCAAGUCGAACGGAAAGGCCCUGCUUUUGUGGGGUGCUCGAGUGGCGAACGGGUGAGUAACACGUGAGUAACCUGCCCUUGACUUUGGGAUAACUUCAGGAAACUGGGGCUAAUACCGGAUAGGAGCUCCUGCUGCAUGGUGGGGGUUGGAAAGUUUCGGCGGUUGGGGAUGGACUCGCGGCUUAUCAGCUUGUUGGUGGGGUAGUGGCUUACCAAGGCUUUGACGGGUAGCCGGCCUGAGAGGGUGACCGGCCACAUUGGGACUGAGAUACGGCCCAGAAUCGUACGGGAGGCAGCAGUGGGGAAUAUUGCACAAUGGGCGGAAGCCUGAUGCAGCAACGCCGCGUGCGGGAUGACGGCCUUCGGGUUGUAAACCGCUUUCGCCUGUGACGAAGCGUGAGUGACGGUAAUGGGUAAAGAAGCACCGGCUAACUACGUG
Molecule: ribosomal RNA, 468 nt
Filed under: uncultured bacterium
Lineage: Bacteria
Description: partial 16S ribosomal RNA
Rfam family: Bacterial small subunit ribosomal RNA
Source: RNAcentral